RNAcentral lists this ribosomal RNA (1015 nucleotides) under uncultured bacterium. RNAcentral's name for it is "bacterial SSU rRNA". It matches the Rfam family "Bacterial small subunit ribosomal RNA", at positions 38 to 1069 of the family's 1533-position model. The record is from RNAcentral.
GGCAUAGCGCUGCUACCAUGCAAGUCGAGCGGAGCUAAUAGCAAUAUUAGUUUAGCGGCGGACGGGUGAGUAACGCGUGGGCAACCUGCCUCACACUGGGGGAUAACACUGGGAAACUAGUGCUAAUACCGCAUAACAUCAUGAAAGGACAUCCUUUUAUGAUCAAAGGAGCAAUCCGGUGAGAGAUGGGCCCGCGUCCAAUUAGCUAGUUGGUGAGGUAAUGGCCCACCAAGGCGACGAUUGGUAGCCGAACUGAGAGGUUGAUCGGCCACAUUGGGACUGAGAUACGGCCCAGACUCCUACGGGAGGCAGCAGUGGGGAAUAUUGCGCAAUGGGGGAAACCCUGACGCAGCAACGCCGCGUGAAGGAUGAAGGUUUUCGGAUCGUAAACUUCUUUGAUGGGGGACGAAACAAAUGACGGUACCCCAAAAACAAGCCACGGCUAACUACGUGCCAGCAGCCGCGGUAAUACGUAGGUGGCGAGCGUUGUCCGGAAUUACUGGGUGUAAAGGGCGUGUAGGCGGGAAUGCAAGUCAGAUGUGAAAUGCCGAGGCUUAACUUCGGAGCUGCAUCUGAAACUGUGUUUCUUGAGUGUCGGAGAGGAAAGUGGAAUUCCCAGUGUAGCGGUGAAAUGCGUAGAUAUUGGGAGGAACACCAGUGGCGAAGGCGACUUUCUGGACGAUAACUGACGCUGAGGCGCGAAAGCGUGGGGAGCAAACAGGAUUAGAUACCCUGGUAGUCCACGCCGUAAACGAUGGAUACUAGGUGUAGGGGGUAUCGACCCCCCCUGUGCCGCAGUUAACACAAUAAGUAUCCCACCUGGGGAGUACGGCCGCAAGGUUGAAACUCAAAGGAAUUGACGGGGGCCCGCACAAGCAGUGGAGUAUGUGGUUUAAUUCGAAGCAACGCGAAGAACCUUACCAGGCUUGACAUGCAGAUGAAUAAAGGUAGAGAUAUCUUAGUCCUUCGGGACAUCUGUGCAGGUGGUGCAUGAUUGUCGUCAGCUCGUGUCGUG